This 402-nucleotide ribosomal RNA is filed under the name bacterium. RNAcentral's name for it is "partial 16S ribosomal RNA". It matches the Rfam family "Bacterial small subunit ribosomal RNA", at positions 355 to 776 of the family's 1533-position model. The record is from RNAcentral.
UGGGGAAUUUUGCACAAUGGGGGAAACCCUGAUGCAGCGACGCCGCGUGAUUUAGAAGGCCUGCGGGUUGUAAAAAUCUUUUCUAUGGGAAGAAAAUGACAGUAUCAUAGGAAUAAGGACCGGCUAACUACGUGCCAGCAGCCGCGGUAAUACGUAAGGUCCGAGCGUUGUCCGGAAUUAUUGGGCGUAAAGGGUACGUAGGCGGGUAAGCAAGUUAGAAGUGAAAUCCUAUAGCUCAACUAUAGUAAGCUUUUAAAACUGCUCAUCUUGGGGUAUGGAAGGGAAAGUUGGAAUCCUAGUGUAGCGGUGAAAUGCGCAGAUAUUAGGAGGAAUACCGGUGGCGAAGGCGACUUGCUGGCCAUAACCUGACGCUGAGGUACGAAAGCGAGGGUAGCAAACAGG